This 77-nucleotide transfer RNA is filed under the name Bacillota bacterium. RNAcentral's name for it is "tRNA-Val". It matches the Rfam family "tRNA". Rfam says of the family: Transfer RNA (tRNA) molecules are approximately 80 nucleotides in length. Their secondary structure includes four short double-helical elements and three loops (D, anti-codon, and T loops). Further hydrogen bonds mediate the characteristic L-shaped molecular structure. tRNAs have two regions of fundamental functional importance: the anti-codon, which is responsible for specific mRNA codon recognition, and the 3' end, to which the tRNAs corresponding amino acid is attached (by aminoacyl-tRNA synthetases). tRNAs cope with the degeneracy of the genetic code in two manners: having more than one tRNA (with a specific anti-codon) for a particular amino acid; and 'wobble' base-pairing, i.e. permitting non-standard base-pairing at the 3rd anti-codon position. The record is from RNAcentral. Lineage: Bacteria; Bacillati; Bacillota.
GGGCAAUUAACUCAGCUGGCUAGAGUGUCAUCUUGACGUGGUGAAAGUCGGGGGUUCGAAUCCCUCAUUGCCCACCA